CAAGGAGUUUUCCGCAAUGGGCGCAAGCCUGACGGAGCAACGCCGCGUGGGGGAUGACACCUUUCGGGGCGUAAACCCCUUUUCUUGGGGACGAAGCAGUGACGGUACCCGAGGAAGAAGGCCCGGCUAACUACGUGCCAGCAGCCGCGGUAAUACGUAGGGGCCGAGCGUUGUCCGGAGUUACUGGGCGUAAAGCGCGCGCAGGCGGCGGUUCAAGCCUGACGUGAAAGCCCCCGGCUCAACCGGGAGGGUCGUCGGGGACUGGGCCGCUUGAGGUCGGCAGGGGCUGGUGGAAUUCCCGGUGUAGUGGUGAAAUGCGUAGAGAUCGGGAGGAACACCCGUGGCGAAGGCGGCCAGCUGGGCCGGACCUGACGCUGAGGCGCGAAGGCGUGGGGAGCGAACGGGAUUUAGAUACCCCGGUAGUCCACGCAUAAAACGAUGCAGACUUAGGCGU
This 454-nucleotide ribosomal RNA is filed under the name uncultured Chloroflexota bacterium. Its description in RNAcentral is "bacterial SSU rRNA". It matches the Rfam family "Bacterial small subunit ribosomal RNA", at positions 355 to 823 of the family's 1533-position model. The record is from RNAcentral. Lineage: Bacteria; Bacillati; Chloroflexota.